This 104-nucleotide small RNA is filed under the name Epilithonimonas zeae. RNAcentral describes it as "Chryseobacterium zeae Flavo-1 RNA". It matches the Rfam family "Flavo-1 RNA". Lineage: Bacteria; Pseudomonadati; Bacteroidota; Flavobacteriia; Flavobacteriales; Weeksellaceae. The record is from RNAcentral.
GCCUAGCCCCGAUAGUAACGGCAUCCUUUUUUGUCUUUUGGAAAUGUUCUAGUAAUGACAAACUGCCGAAGACAAAAAAGAUAUAGUGGAUAGCGGGAUUAAGC